AUUGAACGCUGGCGGCAGGCCUAACACAUGCAAGUCGAGCGGAUGAAGAGAGCUUGCUCUCUGAUUCAGCGGCGGACGGGUGAGUAAUGCCUAGGAAUCUGCCUGGUAGUGGGGGACAACGUUUCGAAAGGAACGCUAAUACCGCAUACGUCCUACGGGAGAAAGCAGGGGACCUUCGGGCCUUGCGCUAUCAGAUGAGCCUAGGUCGGAUUAGCUAGUUGGUGAGGUAAUGGCUCACCAAGGCGACGAUCCGUAACUGGUCUGAGAGGAUGAUCAGUCACACUGGAACUGAGACACGGUCCAGACUCCUACGGAGGCAGCAGUGGGGGAAUAAUUGGACAAUGGGCGAAAGCCUGAUCCAGCCAUGCCGCGUGUGUGAA
Molecule: ribosomal RNA, 380 nt
Filed under: uncultured bacterium
Lineage: Bacteria
Description: bacterial SSU rRNA
Rfam family: Bacterial small subunit ribosomal RNA
Source: RNAcentral